GAUGAACGCUGGCGGCGUGCCUAAUACAUGCCAGUCGAGCGAACAGAUGAGGAGCUUGCUCCUCUGACGUUAGCGGCGGACGGGUGAGUAAUACGUGGAUAACCUACCUAUAAGACUGGGAUAACUUCGGGAAACCGGAGCUAAUACCGGAUAAUAUAUUGAACCGCAUGGUUCAAUAGUGAAAGACGGUUUUGCUGUCACUUAUAGAUGGAUCCGCGCCGCAUUAGCUAGUUGGUAAGGUAACGGCUUACCAAGGCAACGAUGCGUAGCCGACCUGAGAGGGUGAUCGGCCACACUGGAACUGAGACACGGUCCAGACUCCUACGGGAGGCAGCAGUAGGGAAUCUUCCGCAAUGGGCGAAAGCCUGACGGAGCAACGCCGCGUGAGUGAUGAAGGUCUUCGGAUCGUAAAACUCUGUUAUUAGGGAAGAACAAAUGUGUAAGUAACUAUGCACGUCUUGACGGUACCUAAUCAGAAAGCCACGGCUAACUACGUG
RNAcentral lists this ribosomal RNA (497 nucleotides) under uncultured bacterium. RNAcentral's name for it is "partial 16S ribosomal RNA". It matches the Rfam family "Bacterial small subunit ribosomal RNA", at positions 28 to 507 of the family's 1533-position model. The record is from RNAcentral.